Molecule: ribosomal RNA, 492 nt
Filed under: uncultured bacterium
Lineage: Bacteria
Description: bacterial SSU rRNA
Rfam family: Bacterial small subunit ribosomal RNA
Source: RNAcentral
GACGAACGCUGGCGGCGUGCUUAACACAUGCAAGUCGAACGAAGUUUAAGGGAGAGUAAUCGAACUUAAACUUAGUGGCGGACGGGUGCGUAACGCGUGAACAAUCUGUCCUAUAGAGGGGGAUAACAGGCAGAAAUGUCUGCUAAUACCGCAUAAGACCACGGAGUCGCAUGGCUCUGAGGUAAAAGGAGCAAUCCACUAAAGGGUGAGUUCGCGUCUGAUUAGCUAGUUGGUGAGGUAACGGCCCACCAAGGCGACGAUCAGUAGCCGAUCUGAGAGGAUGACCGGCCACACUGGAACUGAGAAACGGUCCAGACUCCUACGGGAGGCAGCAGUGGGGAAUAUUGGGCAAUGGGCGAAAGCCUGACCCAGCAACGCCGCGUGAGGGAAGAAGGUUUUCGGAUCGUAAACCUCUGUCGCAGGGGACGAAAAAAAUGACGGUACCCUGUGAGGAAGCUCCGGCUAACUACGUGCCAGCCGCCGCGGUAAUAC